GGAAGUAGCACCACUUGAUGCCUGGUCUAUUACAUCAGUGAUGACUGGAUGAACUGUUUAUGAAGCUGACAGAAAUGAUGAAAACUCACCUCACACAUGUCAGACCUCUGGGUUUUCUGCACACAUGCCAGGACAAGCAUUGCCUGUUUGAGAUCAGUCGGGAAGCACUAACAUAUGAACAGUGACCUGCAUUCAAACACCAGAACCCAGCUUCCCAGCACAAAUGCCUGCACCUAUCCUUUAGAAGGCUUUCCACUAUGACGGUAUGCGAAAUGUAACUACUGUAAAAAUAAGUGCUUGUAAAAACUAUGGUCAGUGGAACGUUUCCUCGAGCUUUUCAAAACACCAAUGCAAACUGCUAUGUGGAAGAAAGGAAGCAUUAUCUUUCAGUCACUUAUAUGCAAAUGUUACAUGGAAAUUGACAGUAAAACAUGAAAAUGAAAUUUAACAUCUUUAUAACCGGGUUAGCAGUCCGUCCCUGUCCAUCCCCGUGUGUGUAUCCCCCCACCUCCGGGAAAGAAUCAGCCAGAAAAGAAAACACCAAAGGAGAACGCAAAGGAGUCACCUCUAGCAGCAUUUAAAAGUUCAAAUAAAGAGACGGGCAUCUCGCCGGAUUUUCGAAACGAUAUCAGCGUGGGGGAACUGGCAGCCCGGCUCUCAGCGGGUCAGGCACGGGGGCUGCAGGCUAACCAAACGGGAGGGUUCGGGAAGCAGGCUGCCUCCGGAGCCCCUCACGCCCAGCGCCGCGGGGCCGGCGGUCGCUCCGCGCCCCCACACCGGCCCCGCCGCCGCCGCGGGGCCCUCGGGGGUCCGGGCCUCCCCGGAAGGCCUCCGGCAGCGGGCGAACCGCCC
Molecule: long non-coding RNA, 852 nt
Organism: Passer domesticus (house sparrow)
Lineage: Eukaryota; Metazoa; Chordata; Aves; Passeriformes; Passeridae
Exons: 3
Source: RefSeq, a predicted model, not a curated record